UGGUUCAAGUGUAGGCUCCAGACAGCUGCAGCUGUCAUGGUGGCAUCCAGAGAUGGAGCCAGGCCAGAAACCAGAGAAUCUUCUGGAAGGUGGAGGGAUGAAAAGUCUCCAUUCAAACAGCAGCUUACAUUCGAACAAGGCAGACUCCAGAUAAAUGGGCAGGUGGCACUGACACAAGAAUUCCCACCUGGGCGGGAAGCAUGAGGGAUGAAAUAAAGAUAACCCCAGCUCUUGGUCUGAGCUACCACUGUUCUGCUAAAAA
Long non-coding RNA from Cavia porcellus (domestic guinea pig), 262 nucleotides. RefSeq lists it as uncharacterized. NCBI's taxonomy places the organism in Eukaryota, Metazoa, Chordata, Mammalia, Rodentia, Caviidae. The record is from RefSeq and is a predicted model, not a curated record. The transcript has 2 exons.